This 497-nucleotide ribosomal RNA is filed under the name uncultured bacterium. RNAcentral's name for it is "partial 16S ribosomal RNA". It matches the Rfam family "Bacterial small subunit ribosomal RNA", at positions 28 to 507 of the family's 1533-position model. The record is from RNAcentral.
GAUGAACGCUGGCGGCGUGCCUAAUACAUGCAAGUCGAGCGAACAGACGAGGAGCUUGCUCCUCUGACGUUAGCGGCGGACGGGUGAGUAACACGUGGAUAACCUACCUAUAAGACUGGGAUAACUUCGGGAAACCGGAGCUAAUACCGGAUAAUAUAUUGAACCGCAUGGUUCAAUAGUGAAAGACGGUUUUGCUUUCACUUAUAGAUGUAUCCGCGCCGCAUUAGCUAGUUGGUAAGGUAACGGCUUACCAAGGCAACGAUGCUUAGCCGACCUGAGAGGGUGAUCGGCCAAACUGGAACUGAGACACGGUCCAGACUCCUACGGGAGGCAGCAGUAGGGAAUCUUCCGCAAUGGGCGAAAGCUUGACGGAGCAACGCCGCGUGAGUGAUGAAGGUCUUCGGAUCGUAAAACUCUGUUAUUAGGGAAGAACAAAUGUGUAAGUAACUAUGCACGUCUUGACGGUACCUAAUCAGAAAGCCACGGCUAACUACGUG